Molecule: RNA transcript, 5536 nt
Organism: Empidonax traillii (willow flycatcher)
Lineage: Eukaryota; Metazoa; Chordata; Aves; Passeriformes; Tyrannidae
Gene: KIF6
Gene name: kinesin family member 6
Exons: 23
Source: RefSeq, a predicted model, not a curated record
UCGCCGUGCCGCGCUGCCGUUGCCAAGGGCUCGGCGGGCAGCGAUGGUGAAGGAAACCAUCCGGGUGUACGCGCGGGUGAAGCCGCUGGGCAGGCGGCAGCAGGCGGGGAGCUAUUCAGUGGAUGAUGAGGAGGAUCCCCUCUCCAGUCUGGAGAUUACUGUGCCACGUGACUUAGCAGAUGGGUUCGUCAAUAAUAAACGAGAGACCUACAAAUUCAAAUUUCAGAAAAUUUUUGAUCAAGAGGCAAAACAAGAUGUGGUUUUUGACAGCAUUGCCAAACCAGUAGCAGAAUGUGUUUUGGCUGGAUAUAAUGGUACUAUCUUUGCAUAUGGUCAGACAGGCAGUGGCAAAACUUUUACCAUCACAGGAGGAGCAGAACGUUACAGUGAUCGAGGCAUUAUUCCCAGGACCCUAUCUUAUGUUUUUGAUCAAUUGCAAAAGGAUAGCAGUAAAAUGUAUACAACUCACGUUUCCUACUUAGAAAUCUACAAUGAAUGUGGUUAUGAUCUGUUGGACCCAAGGCAUGAGGCCUCCAGAUUGGAAGACUUGCCAAAAGUGACAAUAAUGGAAGACUCUGAUCAAAACAUUCAUCUGAAAAACUUGUCUCUUCAGCAAGCAACAAAUGAAGAGGAAGCCUUAAACCUACUCUUCUUGGGAGACACCAACAGAAUGAUUGCUGAGACACCAAUGAAUCAAGCCUCCAGCCGAUCUCACUGCAUUUUCACUAUUCACAUCUCCAGCAAGGAACCUGGAUCUGCAACUAUCAGACGCUCCAAGUUGCACUUAGUAGACCUUGCUGGAUCAGAGCGCGUUGCGAAGACUGGAGUUGGAGGUCACUUGCUGACAGAAGCCAAAUAUAUUAACUUGUCAUUGCAUUAUUUGGAACAGGUAAUAAUUGCCCUCGCGGAGAAAAACCGAUCCCACAUUCCUUACCGAAACUCUAUGAUGACCUCAGUGCUAAGAGACAGCCUGGGAGGAAACUGCAUGACUGCCAUGAUAGCAACGCUCUCUAUAGACAAAAGAAACAUAGAUGAAUCUAUAUCAACCUGCAGAUUUGCACAGCGAGUUGCUCUUAUUAAGAAUGAAGCAGUUCUUAAUGAAGAAAUUGACCCCAGAUUGAUGAUUGUCCAGCUGAAAAAGGAGAUCCAGGAUUUGAAGGAUGAGUUGGAGCUGGUGACUGGCAAGCAAAGAACGUCAGAGCUUACACAAGAAGAGCUACUUCAGUUGGAUGAGUUAAUUGAAACAUUCCUCAAAGAUAAUGAUCCUGAUAGCACUCUGGAUGUUGGUGCUGACAUGCGCAAGAUCAAGUAUUGCUUCAUUCAUAUGAAGCAACUAGUGAAUCAUCCCACAAAUUCUGAUAAAAAACUGCUCUCGCAAGACAUCUCUGAAGAAGAAGACACUAACAAAGAAUUGAGAGGAGAAGAACUGAAAAAACUUAAACACCUUCUGCAGCAAAGAGACGAUGAAAUCAAUAUUCUGAUUAAUAUGCUAAAAAAAGAAAAAAAGAAAGCACAAGAUGCUGUUUCCCAGCUUAAUGCCACGUCUGCUUGUUCUUCAGCCUUGGAGCAGUCUGUUUCUAUAAACUUGGAAGAUAGGCAGAGCCUAUCUAGCUGUUUUAGUCUGAAAGAGGCAAAAGAUUUCAGCUCUUCUAUUCACAGACUACCUUUUCUUUCCAGACAAACAGGAGGAAAGAUGUCACUUGGAUGUCAGGAAGCUUUUGAAGUUUUCAAGCGGGACCAUGCUGACAGUAUAACCAUUGAGGACAACAAACAGCUUCUGAAACAAAGGUUUGCUGAAGUUAAGUGCCUUGGCGAAAAACUAAAUGAAGUGAGAAGUAAAAUAAACCGUCUGAAAGGAGAGAUAACCCAGAGGCACAUUCAGAGAGCAGCUCUAGCUGUUUCAAGUCCUUCUGAAGAGUUAAAUAUGUUUGAUCCUGUAGAAGAGAAACUUAGAAUGCAAAUUGAAGAAGAAAAAAAAAGUUAUAAAACAAUGUUCAAUCGCUUCAAAGGGCUGAAGGUAGAGAUUGAGCACCUACAGCUUCUUAUGGAAAAAGUGAAGAUGAAGAUGCAAAAAGACUUUGAAGUCUGGUGGUCUGAAGAGGCAAAAAAUUUACAGCACGAAAAGCCAGAGAUGGUUACAUCACCGAAUACUGUGACUGCCUAUCCCCGGUUUAUCAAAUCCUUGCAGCACCUACCAGCUAACAGUUUUUCAGAGACCACAAGAGUCAGCCCUAAUGAAGAUCCAGAUGGGAAAAACAAUUCCAUCACUUUUAGUAAUCCUACUUUAAAAACAAGGAUCCCACCAAGUUCAAGUACAUCUAUUCCUCUGACUGGAGACAGCCAGGCUGAUGCUGACAUCCUAGCUUUCAUUAAAGCAAGACAGAGGAUCCUGCAAAAGAAAGGCUUGGAGAACAAAUGAAAUUCUUGUCACGGUCCACCAUUUCCUUUUAGAAAAGUGAAAGACCUUUAUUCUUUGCCUUCCUCUUCUGUUUAGAAACAGCUGCUGGAGAAGCAGGCAGAGACCCACUUUCGGGACCAGUUCCAGCUGGAGAAGCUCAGCUUCCUGCAGAACUACACAUGCUUGGACAGGCAAGCCCUGGAGAAGUUUGUACAGGUAAGAGGAACAAGUUCCCAUUAUUUUGGCUCAAGCAUUAUUUUCUUUAGAAGAAAUUAUACUAUUGUGGCCAAGCACAUUAUAAACUGAUCAGCUGUCCAUGAUAUUAAAGGUCUAACUGUUUAAAUUAAAGGCAGAGGUUUCUCAAGCCCAUUCAUAUAUCUCUUUAUCUUGAUCUAUUGAACUACUUUCUUCUCCCAGUCAUGAAUGCCCAAAAUAUGUAAAUCUGCCUGAUGCACUUUUGUGCUACGUUGCAGCAGUUUCAACUUCAUGGUUCUCAGCUCCCUCAUUAAUUAUUACAGGGAAUUAUGCAUGGGGAAAAAAUCAAGAAUCAAACCUAAAUAAGUAGGUUGUCCUUCCAAGGUUCUCCAGUCCAAAUCUGUGCAAAUUCUUCCCUUUUGUACUAGAAAUUGUCUACUGUCUUUGAAGGUGGUCCUGCACUCACAGGCCUCUAAAGAAAAGAUAAAGCCAACUAUCACUUACUGUGUUACCUAUCUCUUGUAAGAAGAGAUAAAGAGCUCUUAUUCAAUAUGGGUUGUCAAUUAAUGACAUCUUCAAUUACAUUUUAAUCUGUUUCUCAAAACUGGCUGGAGAUACCUUUCUUGGUAUUAUAUUCUCAUACUAGUAUUGCAAGAACUGGAUAGAAAUCCUUAAACUACCACUUUCUUUGUGCUCAGAAUCUACCCAGAUGCAGAGCUGGGUGCGUAAAUAGUUUGAUCUCUUUCUACCAUGUCACUAAACCUGAUAAAAACUCUAAACGUGCCGCAAGUUCGCGCUGCCCAAGUCAGAAGAUUUCCACGAAGGUACGUGCUUUUGAUAAACAAAAAGCCUAGAUUUUGUAAAUUUAUUUAAGCAAACAGUGAAUUUCAGAUUAAAAAGGGUAGCAAAGGUGCCUGAACCUCUGUCUACAAAGUAAAUGUUCUGAUUACCAAUAUUGUGAUGUAUUUCUUGUGGAACACGGCAUUGGCCUGAAAAUUACUAGUUUUCAAGAACUUACAUGCCUAAAAACAUGUCUAUUUUAUUCAGCUAUAGCAUUCAGUGAUAUUACCUGUCCUUUCCUUAUGUCUCAGAUAGUGAUUGUAGAGGCGAAAACCCUGAUUCUCAUUCUAAACCUAGCUGGGAUACCUUAUAGGAUUUAAAGGUUUAGUUAAAUCUCUGCUACCCUAGAAAUCUUAGGGGAGGUUCACACGUGUCCAGAUUCUUAUCACUCUGGCUCCAGUGGAGCUUUCUUAGCACUGCCGUGCCACUCAGAGAAUCACAUUUUGUUAUGUCUCUGCAGAAUGAAAUACAAUUUCACUUGUAAGCUGUUCCAGAUAAAACCGGCUGAGGGCACUAAAUCACCUACAAUGCACCAAGCUUCAAAGUACUUGGUAGUCCUCAAGGUUCACAUAAAUGCAGGUCCUCUCUGACUCACCUGUUAUUUAUAAGACUUGUUAAGAAAUUUGUCUAACUCUUAUUAAUAUUAGGAAAUACUACUCUUCCCAUAUAAAAUCUCUAACUUUAAAAUUAAUGCAGGGAAGCAGUUGUAUCUCUGCAUGUUUUAACUAUCAUGUCAGAAGUUCCACUCUGAAAAGUCACAGUAGUCUCACAGACUGCAGUGAGACACAGCCCCUAGACUCAGUCUGCUCAGCUAACAAGAUGUCUUGUCUUAAUACCCAUUCCUUAAACCUAAAUCCUUAAAUAUGGGAUUCAACCCAGGUUUCUUUUUGCAUAUCUAUGAUCACUAAUGAUAGAGUUACCACUUUUAAUUCAUUAUUUUUUACUCGAUUGUGCAGGAAACAAAUUUUUGUAAUUCCGUAUCAAUAAACUGCAUUGGCUCUGCAUGGCUAAAACUGUCUAGCUGAGAGGUGGCCCCUGAGCUGCAGCUCCUAAAAUGAGAAGCCUGGAGCUUUGGGAAAGUGCAAAUCCAAAUUCUGUGAUCUAAUGCAUCUCUGGCAAACAAACAUCAGUCAGGAAAUAAUGCCAUUCUGACAACAUAACUGAGAUGCAUUGAGCAAGGAGGUUCCCUUGAUGAGUGCCCAUUUUGAUUAUGUCCAUACUUUUUCAGCCUCAAAGGAACUGAUCUAAACAUAGACUGAAAGGACCAAAUCCUUGUCUAUGACAAGUGGCUGCAAUGUGCAUCGGCAAGGGGACAGGAGGAGAAACAGCAGGAAGUUUUUAUUCUCUCCACAUCCUACUGUAGCUUUAUAUAGGUUUCAUACUCCUUCUGUAAAUUACAGCACUUUGCUUUUACCUACAGGCUACUUCUGUUCCCAAAGGCAACAGCUAACGCUCACCAACCAUUCAUCAGCUGCUCUGAUCACGCCCCAGCUGUAACCCUUACCUGAGUUGUAGAUGAAAGGAGCUAGGAACCAUUUUAACUGUCCCACAGGAACUUGUUUGUUUAGGAACAAUUCUCCUGGGCACCAGGAUGCCACUUAUUUCAUGGGGUUGUACUUAAAAGCAACAAUCGUACCAAGAAAUCUGACCUUGUCAGACUGUGUCUGAAGGGUUCAACAUUCAAAAUUGCCUUACUCUUCCAUGUUGACUCUCAUGAUGUGAAUGGAACUCCUGUGAACUCUUGUGCUUUGAAAUGCAUAGAACUGUCAAGUGUUUCUUACGGAAGUAAAUUAAACCUGUGAUUAUUUUAGACAUUUCAAAGUAUUCACAGCUUAGUAGCUUCUGUGUGUUCCUUCUAAGCAGAAAAUGAAAUAGUCAGCUCUAGAAAAUUUGACAUGUCGAAUUUUUUCCAUUCUAAGAAGAGGUUUUAAAUGGAUAAAGUUGUUUGUCAUAUUGAAAAGAAGCUCUGCUGACGCUUCAGUCAUGUGAUGGUGUCCAGCAGUCCUCUGAUAAACUUGACCAAUGCUGUAGGAUUUUUUAAUACAGAAAUAAGAUUAGCCACUAAACUUACGAUACUCAGUCCACCAGCACAGAUCGCCUAAA